RNAcentral lists this ribosomal RNA (811 nucleotides) under Salinispora arenicola. RNAcentral describes it as "bacterial SSU rRNA". It matches the Rfam family "Bacterial small subunit ribosomal RNA", at positions 103 to 925 of the family's 1533-position model. The record is from RNAcentral. Lineage: Bacteria; Bacillati; Actinomycetota; Actinomycetes; Micromonosporales; Micromonosporaceae.
CGGGUGAGUAACACGUGAGUAACCUGCCCCAGGCUUUGGGAUAACCCCGGGAAACCGGGGCUAAUACCGGAUAUGACUGGCUGCCGCAUGGUGGUUGGUGGAAAGAUUUUUUGGCUUGGGAUGGGCUCGCGGCCUAUCAGCUUGUUGGUGGGGUGAUGGCCUACCAAGGCGGCGACGGGUAGCCGGCCUGAGAGGGCGACCGGCCACACUGGGACUGAGACACGGAUACAGACUCAUACGGGAGGCAGCAGUGGGGAAUCUUGCACAAUGGGCGGAAGCCUGAUGCAGCGACGCCGCGUGAGGGAUGACGGCCUUCGGGUUGUAAACCUCUUUCAGCAGGGACGAAGCGUUUGUGACGGUACCUGCAGAAGAAGCGCCGGCCAACUACGUGCCAGCAGCCGCGGUAAGACGUAGGGCGCAAGCGUUGUCCGGAUUUAUUGGGCGUAAAGAGCUCGUAGGCGGCUUGUCGCGUCGACUGUGAAAACCCGUGGCUCAACUGCGGGCUUGCAGUCGAUACGGGCAGGCUAGAGUUCGGUAGGGGAGACUGGAAUUCCUGGUGUAGCGGUGAAAUGCGCAGAUAUCAGGAGGAACACCGGUGGCGAAGGCGGGUCUCUGGGCCGAUACUGACGCUGAGGAGCGAAAGCGUGGGGAGCGAACAGGAUUAGAUACCCUGGUAGUCCACGCUGUAAACGUUGGGCGCUAGGUGUGGGGAGCCUCUCCGGGUCUCUGUGCCGCAGCUAACGCAUUAGCGCCCCGGCCUGGGGAGUACGGCCGCAAGGCUAAAACUCAAGGGAAUUGACGGGGGCCCGCA